This 1915-nucleotide long non-coding RNA is filed under the name Homo sapiens (human). RNAcentral describes it as "HSALNT0076009". The record is from RNAcentral. Lineage: Eukaryota; Metazoa; Chordata; Mammalia; Primates; Hominidae.
UCAGUCUUCACAGGAAUGUAGGCGAUUAGCCACGGAGCCCUUCUCUGUCUAGCAUCAGGCAUCAGACGCCCAACUAUACAGAGGCCAUUUGAAUGGAACUGCAGAAUAAUCUUCAGAAGAAAAAGCAAGCUCACAUGAGUGGCAGCAGCCCAUUGUGCUGAGUUAAAGACGCUGGAGAGAGUCUGGUUGGCGGUGGGGAGGUGUGGUGUUGAUGACAAUGAUGGGGCCGUGGCUGGAGAGGUUAAUGUCAGUCUCACAGACCCUGUUAUUUAUACUAAUGUAUUUAAUCUCCAUAACCCUAUAAAAAGUAUUAUUGUCAUCUCUACUUACAGGUGUGGAAAUUGAGUAACAGAAAAAUUAACUUGCCAAGAUAACACAGCUAGUAAAUAGUAGAGCUGUGAUUUGAAGCCAGGCAGUGAACUUCAGAAAUCCUUUCUGUUGAUGUGGGGAGUGGAGGACUCCAGACCCUGCCCAUUUGGCCUUGCCUCGUCUCUUUUUACUCUAGAAAAUGCUGUGGCUCUAUCAAAUACAGCUCAAAAAGCUACUCAUCCAGUUCAACUCUCUCCUUUGAAAGAUGAAGAUAUUGAGACCCAGAGAGGUGGAUACCCUGAGGUGGAGAAGAGACUGAAUAUGCCCACUGCAUCCAAAGCAAGGCUGGAGCUGACUUGAGCUUACUUGGCUUCAUAAAGCUUGAACACCAUAGAUGCUUUUAUAUGUCUUUCCUGUUCGAUUACUCUGGAUAGAGUGUGCUACUCCUAACACAAAGCAAAACCAAACCAAAAAACAAACCUCUCUUUUUCAUUUCCUUAAAGAAAAAAGAAAUUUAAUUUGGAUUCAGAUAAUACCCUUAUAACUUCUAAGGCAGUCAAGCAAGGAGGGGAACAGAUAAUUAGGAGAUGAUGGGAGCCAGCACAAAGCCAAAUGGAAGAAAACAGGCACACAGUAAGGCGGCAAAAGCCACCACCUAAUCCAUUAACAGCCUGCACUAUAAUUACGCUUGGCUCUGGCAUUAAACUGGUGAAAGCACAAAGGAGACACUAUUAAAGUCUUAAUUCCCACAAAAGGAAGCUCAUCCUGUGUAACAGCAAGUACUGUGCACCAAAGCGGCACCUAAAUGAAUAUUAUGGCAAAUUCUAAUUUAGCACUUAGUAGGAGCAUUCCACAAAAUUGCAAAAAUAAAGAGGAAGAAAGCUGAACGUGGUAAUUCAUGCCUGUAGUCCCAGCUACUCAGGAGGCUGAGGCAGGAGGAUUGCCUGAGCCCAAGAGUUUGAGGCUAGCCUGGACAACAUAGCAAGACUUUCAUCUCUACACAAAAUUAUUAGCUGGAUGUGGUGGCAUGUACCUGUAGUACCAGCUGGUCGAGAGGCUGAGACAAGAAGAUUGCUUGAGCCCAGGAGUUCAAAGUCAGCCUGGGCAACAUAGCGAGACCCUGUUUCUCAAAAAUAAUUAGAAAAAUAAAUAAAGGAGAAGAAAAGACUAGGUGGUGUUUCUUUAAAGGCAGUUCUUGCUGUUGCUCUAUGGGUUCACUUUCUCCCCAACCCCCAACCUUCUCAACCUUUCUCCAACCUCUCCAGCCCUCCCCAGCCCUCCCCAGCCUGUGUCUCUGCCCUCCCCAACCCCUCAUCGUCAGAUGGUUUUAAGCAUGUGGCUUCCUGAAAGCUGUGGGUCAGGAGGUAGCAGCAGGCCAAGUCUUCCUCCUUCGGCAGAAGGAGGAGCAGUGUGAGGUGCAAGUGGGCAGAGGCAGAGACUGAAAGUUCUUGAGGAGAACAGGUGUGAGGCCACAGGAAGCUCCACCAGGCACCUGGCUGCACAGUGACUUUUGCAGUGACAGUGCUUCAGCCUCCUUCCACGGGACCGCAGGAUUCAAAAUGGCAUCACCUCCACUUCUGUCAAUACAUCCGCAAGAGGGCUAGCA